UGGGGAAUAUUGCACAAUGGGCGAAAGCCUGAUGCAGCAACGCCGCGUGAGUGAUGAAGGUCUUCGGAUUGUAAAGCUCUGUCUUUUGGGACGAUAAUGACGGUACCAAAGGAGGAAGCCACGGCUAACUACGUGCCAGCAGCCGCGGUAAUACGUAGGUGGCGAGCGUUGUCCGGAUUUACUGGGCGUAAAGGGUGCGUAGGCGGAUGUUUAAGUGAGAUGUGAAAUACCCGGGCUUAACUUGGGUGCUGCAUUUCAAACUGGAUAUCUAGAGUGCAGGAGAGGAGAAUGGAAUUCCUAGUGUAGCGGUGAAAUGCGUAGAGAUUAGGAAGAACACCAGUGGCGAAGGCGAUUCUCUGGACUGUAACUGACGCUGAGGCACGAAAGCGUGGGUAGCAAACAGGAUUAGAUACCCUGGUAGUCCACGCCGUAAACGAUGAGUACUAGGUGUAGGAGGUAUCGACCCCUUCUGUGCCGUAGUAAACACAUUAAGUACUCCGCCUGGGAAGUACGAUCGCAAGAUUAAAACUCUAAAGUGAAUUGAC
Molecule: ribosomal RNA, 545 nt
Filed under: uncultured bacterium
Lineage: Bacteria
Description: partial 16S ribosomal RNA
Rfam family: Bacterial small subunit ribosomal RNA
Source: RNAcentral